This 290-nucleotide long non-coding RNA is filed under the name Numida meleagris (helmeted guineafowl). Its description in RNAcentral is "lncRNA (ENSNMEG00000015640.1)". The record is from RNAcentral. Lineage: Eukaryota; Metazoa; Chordata; Aves; Galliformes; Numididae.
GGGAAGGAGCCUGUUGCUCAUUCUGUGCCAUCCCUGGUAGAUCUGCUGGAUUUGAGUCCUCUGCAAUAUUCAACAGUGAGCCCUGUGGCUGACAAUUCUGCCAGAGUGCUGGAAACCCUCUGCCCCAUGUCCAAGGAAGAGUGGAGGACAGGCAACAUCAUGCUGUGUACAGAAGCAGACAGAGCAGCACCUUCUUGCUCCAGCCUGCGCGUCAGAGCUGCCAUCCACCUCAUGUGAACACCUACUGGGAAAUUCAGACCACCUAGGGAGGUAGCACAGGAAGCAAGGAG